UAGAGUUUGAUCCUGGCUCAGAACGAACGCUGGCGGCAGGCUUAACACAUGCAAGUCGAGCGCCCCGCAAGGGGAGCGGCAGACGGGUGAGUAACGCGUGGGAAUCUACCGUACCCUACGGAAUAACGCAUGGAAACGUGUGCUAAUACCGUAUACGCCCUUAGGGGGAAAGAUUUAUCGGGGUAUGAUGAGCCCGCGUUGGAUUAGCUAGUUGGUGGGGUAAAGGCCUACCAAGGCGACGAUCCAUAGCUGGUCUGAGAGGAUGAUCAGCCACAUUGGGACUGAGACACGGCCCAAACUCCUACGGGAGGCAGCAGUGGGGAAUAUUGGACAAUGGGCGCAAGCCUGAUCCAGCCAUGCCGCGUGAGUGAUGAAGGCCUUAGGGUUGUAAAGCUCUUUCACCGGUGAAGAUAAUGACGGUAACCGGAGAAGAAGCCCCGGCUAACUUCGUGCCAGCAGCCGCGGUAAUA
This 470-nucleotide ribosomal RNA is filed under the name uncultured bacterium. RNAcentral's name for it is "bacterial SSU rRNA". It matches the Rfam family "Bacterial small subunit ribosomal RNA", at positions 1 to 525 of the family's 1533-position model. The record is from RNAcentral.